This 1807-nucleotide unclassified non-coding RNA is filed under the name Hevea brasiliensis (rubber tree). The record is from RNAcentral. Lineage: Eukaryota; Viridiplantae; Streptophyta; Magnoliopsida; Malpighiales; Euphorbiaceae.
GCCACUGGAAAGUGUUGGUUUUGUAAAUCAUGAAGAGUUCUAUACUGAAGUGUCUGGAGGACGACAGUACAUACAACAGGGAAUAUCAAAUGGGCUACCUGAUGUUGAUUCGGUUUUUUAUUCUACAAGGAAGGUUGGAUCAGAAGCACUUGAUAUUAUAUUUGAUGAACAUGCCCCAAAAGUGGCAUUGCCUCAAAGUCUAAUGGUGCCAAUCAAUUCAUUCAACACGUUGUUUCACUAUAAUGCAUUUUGGUCAUUGAUGCUUCCAGUGUCAGUGAGCACCAUGGCUUCUGAUGUCUUAAGAGGUUACUGGGCACAACGUUUGUUGUGGGAAAUCGGUGGAUUUGUUGUGGUAUAUCCUCCUUCGGUACACAGAGAUGACAAAGUUGAAGCAUACCCAUUUUCAGAGGAAAAAGAUUUGCAUGUAAAUGUGGGUCGCUUGAUCAAAUUUUUAGUUUCUUGGAGAUCUGAAAAACAAGGGCUGUAUGAGAAAAUCUUAGAAUUGAGCCAUACAAUGGCACUUGAGGGGUUUUGGAACGAGAAUGAUGUCAAAUUUACAGCUGCAUGGUUGCAUGACUUGGCUGCUGUAGGGUAUCAGCAGCCAAGACUUCUGGCAGUACAAUUGGAUCUGCAAAAGGCAACUGUUCAACGUGGAGAUAAAAAGGAAUUCGUCCCCCGAAAACUACCUUCUGUACAUCUCGGGGUUGAGGAAUCAGGUACAGUGAAUUAUGAAAUCGGGAACUUGAUAAGGUGGAGGAAGAAUUUUGGCAAUGUUGUGCUAGUUAUGUUUGUCACUGGGCCCGUGCAACAAACUGCAUUAGAAUGGAGAUUGUUAUAUGGCAGGGUGUUCAAAACUGUGGUUAUUCUGUCAACACAAGCUGAUGCAGAUCUUGCUGUUGACCAAGGACAGUUGGAUCAAGUAUACAAGUAUCUCCCAAGGAUAUUUGAAAGAUUCAAUAGCACAGAUGGAUUUCUCUUCCUACAGGACAAUACCAUUUUGAACUACUGGAACCUUCUGCAAGCAGACAAAUCUAAGUUGUGGAUCGCCAAUAAGGUGCCUACAUCUCGAAACAUGAUCAACGGAAAGGACUCUUCAUGGUUCCUAAAGCAAGCAGAAUUGGUGAAGAAAGUGGUAGGCACAAUGCCCGUUCACCUCCAAGUCAACUACAAGGAGAGUGGUCCAACUGACCAGAGCAUCGCCUUGUGCGGCUCUGAGGUGUUCUAUGUUCCUCGACGUUUCGUUCAGGACUUUGUUGAUCUAGUAGACUUAGUCGGUGAUCUUGAUAUACACCAGAAAAUUGCUGUACCUAUGUUCUUCAUGGCCAUGGAUUUACCCCAGAAAAUUGCUGUACCUAUGUUCUUCAUGGCCAUGGAUUUACCUCAGAAUUUUGAUACCUUGCUGAAUAAAAUGGUUUAUAAGACAGGAGCAUCAUCUACCAAUUCGUUGAAACUGUAUUCUGCUCAAGUACCAGCUGUGCACCCAUUGGCUGUUUCCACUGAAUCUGAAUUUAUAAAGUUGAUAAGACUCAUGGCAGCAGGUGACCCUUUGCUGAUGGAAUUGGUUUAAGAUCUCAUGUUAUUGUGAAAAUAUUAGAAGUUGUAGAACAUAACAUCAUGUACAAUAGAGUUACUCUUCCAACUGCUCAUUCCCACCUUGGAGGAAAAAGAAAAAAGGUAGAGUGUAUAGUGAAUCUUGUAGCUCUUUUUUCAGAGAUGGCUUUUAAGCACUUUCUAUCAGUCAUUCAAGUGUGUAUUCUUAUAACAACUGCUUAUUCCUCUGUUUGUCAUCCACCUGAUACACCUUGAC